CCCUGGCACUGUUCCUGAGAGUGGUGACUCACCCGCUGCUGGAGCCCUCCAGCUGGAGCGUUCUCCUCACGCCUGAGCCCAUUUCAACAUAACGGGGAGAAAUGGCUCAGAGUGAGUUGUCCUGGCAUUGCUGUUCCCUCUCCUGGCAUCCCAGAGGCCCCACGUGCCUCCUCUGUGCCUGGUGGACUCCCAGGUACCUUGAGGCAUUUGGCUCAGAUGCCCCUUCCCCCAGGAAGCCCUCCUGGCUUCCUCACCCGUCCACUCCAGAUUUGUACACCCUCAUCAGGGCCUUUCCCCAGUGUUCUUAUUGCUCGUUGCUGCCCUGCAGGACCCUCGGCCUCACAAGACUCCCCCACUGGCCCUACUGUGCCAAAGCUCAGAGAGGUUGGGACAUUUGCCCAGUGUCACACAGCUGGGAAGUGGCAGAGCCCAGCACACGCUCAGACAGAUUGGAGCCCAGUGUUUUGCCUGCGGGCAGUGCAGCCUAGUGGCUAGGGAGGCGAAGAGGGCUAGGAGGCUGCUCCUGCCCCUGGUGUGGGGUCUUGGGCAGGUGACUUCACUUGUGACAUCGUUUUCGAGGCGCCUCUGGACUCUGAGUGACCACAUCCCAGGCUCAGACAGGAGGACAAGGCUGGCCGGCCAAGGAAGGCGGCCUGCUUGUGCCUUCCCCACCCCCCCAACUUUGCUUCGUUGCCUCUGCUCUCUGCUUUAGCCUGGACCUGACCCCUGACCCCAGGGCUCAGCAAGCAGUGCUGAGUGAGGUGUCUGCACCUGUACAGUCAGGCCACUCGUGGUGGUCAUUCUUUGGCUGGCUGUCCACGCCCUGCCCGACCGACCAGGGCCUGCUUACCUACCAUCCCCUAGCAGGGGACUGACCUUCCUGCAUGCUGGCCCCAGGCCUCAGGUGGUGAUUGUUCUAAUCAAAGGGGCCCCUUGCGGCCACGUGCCCGCUGCUGGUUUCCCUGGUAACUAAUGAGCCCACCUGAGGUCACUUCCCCUGUGACUGGUAACCUGCCCUUUCCCGGGAGCGAAGCCUGCCACCGUGUCCUGCCUGCCGUCCACCGCACACAAUGGGGCGUCUCUCCGGGACCCUGCUUCAGACGUGUGAAUGGAAAGGAGGCCUGGCCCCUAGGGACAGGAUCUGAACCUGGUGAAGGAGCCAACACCCCCAGCAUUGCAGGACAAAUUUUGGAUCAUCCGUGCUUUCUACUGAAAGACUUGCAAUCCAAAGGGGAAAUGAUGGAAGAACCUGCAGCCUCUUCCCCGCCUCGGAGGCCAGCACCCUCGCCCUGGACACCAACCACCGGACACCCUCGUCCUCGCAGGGCCCCUGCACUCCUGCCCCUUGGGCUGCUGCUCUGAUGCCAUCACCAGCCCCCACACCACCCGUUCCUUUGCUCACACAUCUCGUGACCCCCCCACCCCGGUUACCCUCUCCUCCAGGUCAGGGUCCCCACUGCCUUCCCUGUGCCCCCCCCCACCAACCCUGAACCCUCCCCGGCCACAAGGUGGGCACUCAGGACGCACGCGUUGAGUGAAAAGUGACUUGUUUAUUUUUUAAUUAAUUAAUUAUGCUUUUAACCUUAAAUUCCAUGGUGCAUUGACUCGGGAGGCAUUUGUCAUUAAAAGAUCUCAGGGCUGACUUUUCAACCCAGCCGAGGGGGGUGGGCUAGAAGGGAAUCUCUUUUGAAGCCCUGACUCCAGCUGCUCCCAGGGCUCUGCUGAGCUAAGCUGCUGCUCUGGGCUUGUUUCUGCCUUAACGUGAAUAUUUCCAGAACAGACUCGGCCCAGGGGGUGUGUUCUUGCCACUUGGAAAAAAAAAAAUGUGUCUCUGUAUUCUAGGGAGCCUCUGCCCAGGCGGAAAGACUCUUUCUGAGAGGCAGCACGUUGCCUAAGUGGCAGUCAGCAGUUUUCAAGGCAAACGAGGGGUUUGCUGUGGGGACUCAGUGAUUUCUGGUGUCUUCAGCUUAGCUGAGCCUCAGGUUUCCUAAGCUUAGCCUUCUCAUUGCUGAGGCUGCAUCAUGCCCCAUGACCGGAUUUUCCCCAGGCUGGGAGAUGGAAUGUGGGGUCACCAGGCCUCAGAUGGUGUCAGCUCAAGGACUUAGGCCUCUGACUGAUGGCUGCAGCCCUUGGCAGUGGCUGCGAAAUCCUGACACUGGGUUUGAACAAAAGUGGCCCUGGGAGGUCUCCACAGAGGAAGGAAAGUCGUACGCGGGCGAGCCACCCAUGACGUCCACAGUGGCUUGACUCGGGGAGCGCCGGGGACACGGCCAUCCUUCCGGAAGAGUCGGGCUGCUCCGGGGAAGCAGCUCUGCUCCGUCCAUUGUGCCUGGCCAGACUGCCAGUCCCUAGGGGCCUCCAUGUAGGCAUGUCUAGACGGCUCGUCUACCAAACCCAUCUGCAGGGCCAAUGACCAUCCAUCAGCAGCCUGUGCUACCAGGCCGAGGAGGCCUUCCAGUGAUAAGAGGGCAUCAUCAGAAGGCACAGCUAGUCCUGGCUGUCACCCCCAAUUUCUAGCGCUCCCCAGGCUCCACAAAGCCCAGCUCCACGAGCAUCUCCAGAGCUUCUCAUCUGGGGAACAUGUCUGGAUUCGGCAGUGUUUGGAGUUAGAAUAGUUGAUUAACAGUAUUUAACCUGGAUAGAUACGGGCAGGGAUGUAGAAGGUACUUGCAGUGAAAUUGCUGUAAGAAAUGUCCAACGUGAUGCCUGGCACUGGCCACAGGUUUGGCUCUGAGUUCUCUCAUCCCCUGUUCCUGACCUCUCAAAGUUAGAGGAAAAUAGAACGAUACUGAAACUUGCAGCACCCAUGAAAUAAAAACGAAGCCAUUACUCAGAGGAUUUCUGAUACCUAGAAAUUUUUCCCUUCUGUAUCUGGCUUGUAGAAACUUUUAUCAUGAAAGAGUGUUGAGGUUUGCCAGACAACUCCUUUGUAUCUAUCGAGUGUGGUGUGUGAUAGUUUGGAAGUGUUUUCUCUUCUUCAGGAGUGUACCUCAGUAUAAGAAAUGCCAUGUGUGAACAGCCCACAAUUAACAUCAUUCUCAAUGGUGAAAAACUGAAAGCAUUUCCUGUAAGAUCAGAAAAAGACAAGGAUGCCCACUCUAGCCAUUUCUGUUCAGUAGACUACUGGAAGCCCUUACUACGGCAAUUAGGCAAGAAAAAGAUAUAAAAGGUGUCCAAAUAGGAAAGAAAGAAGUAAAAUUAUCUAUUUGCAGGUGACAUGAUCUUGUAUGUAGAAAACUCUAAACAUUUCACACACACACACACAUAACUAAUAAAAAAAUUCAGGGCAGUUAUGAGACACAAAAUCCACAUAUAAAAUCUGUUGCAUUUCUCUACCCUAACGAUGGACUAUCUAAAAAGAAAAUUAAGAAUACAACCUCACUCACAACAGAAUCAAAAUAGAAUAAAAUACUUAGGAAUAAGCUUAACUGAUGAAGUAAAAGACUUGUACACUGAAAACUAUAAAACAGUAAUGAAAGAAAUUAAAGAAAGCAUAAAUUAGUGGGAAGACAUCUCAUUGGAAGAAUUAAUAUUGUUAACAUGUCCAUACUACCCAAAGUGAUCUACAGAUUCAACGCCAUCCCUUUCAUAAUUCUAAAGACCUUUUUCAUAUAAGUAGAAAAAGCAAUUCUAAAAUUCUUACAAAACCACAGAAGACUCUGAACAGUCAAAGCAAUCUUGAACAGAAGUAAAAUCUGAAGGCAUUACACUUCCUGAUCUCAAAAUAUAUUACAAAGCUACAGUGAAAGAAAACAAGUGUUGGUGAGGAUGUAUGGAAAAGGACACUCUUGUAUUCUGUUACCGCCAUUAUGGACGAUAGUAGAGGAGGUUCCUCAGAAAAUUAGAAAUAGAACUACUAUAUGAUCCAGAAUUCCAUUUCUGGAUAUUUAUCCUAAGGAAUGAAAAUUAGGUUAUCUAAGAAACAGCUGCAGUCCUCUGCUCAUUGCAGUAUAUUCAUGGUGGCCAAGAUACACAAUCUAAGAGUCUGUUGAUGGAUGAAUGGAUAAAGAUAACACGGUAGAUGUAGAAUGGAAUAUUAUUCAUCCUUCAAGAAGAGGGAAAGUCUGCCAUCUGUGAAACACAGAUGGACCUAGAGGAUGUUACGUUAUGUGAAAUAAGCCAGGCACAAACAAAUACUGCGUGAUCUCACUUAUACGUGGAAGCUAAAAAAGUAAGACUCAACGAAACAGAGCACAGAAUGGCGGUCGCCGGGGCUUGGGGGAGGGGCAGUCACCCCGCAGGGGUAAAGUUUCAUUGAUCCAAGGCAGCCACAAUCUAGGGGCACAGUCUAACACGGUGCCCACAGUGAACAACAGUGUGCUGCGCACUUACAGGUUUGGCAAGAGAGUUGAUCUCACAUGUUCUUACCACAAUUGAAAAAAAAUGAAAUUUCGCCCAUGGCAUUUUUUAAGAAAAUAAAAAGCUGAAAUUUGAAAUGUCAACGGGAGGGGGGUGGUUAGGGAAAUUAAGUUAAAGCCACCAGAUGAAUUAUCAUGGGGCUUUUAAACUAUUAAGAUUUAAAUGAUAUUUGCGUAAAAGCGUAAAGAAAGACAGACAUGCGAAGUGUGCCGGCACCAGGAUGAGGGCAUAAAGAAACACAUUAAGCUAAAGACCACAUUUGGCGCUUUUGCAAAAUUGUCUUAUCCGUUUGUGGAAGUUUCUUCUGUGUGAAGUUUAGAAAACACACUUGUCAAGUUCUUCUCAUGAUGGUACAGAACUUGCCAUCCAACUUUGGGGGUGUAGGCAUCCUUGGAGGGGGUGCCGCUACACACGUUCUGUGACCCCCAUUCUCUCCUCAUACGUUCAGGCCUGCCUUCGCAUCUUAGUAAGGUUUUCAGUUUCCCCACGAAAGUUCUGCACUUUCUCGCAAAGGAGUCUCCUGAUAACUCCUGAGACGGCAUUUUAUUUUGGACUUUGCCCGUGUCUUGUUGCUGCUGUUUGCCUCCCUCUGGGGUGGCUGUGGAUCUGUGUGUGCCGAGCCCAUGCACAGCCCCACUUGGCUGUGGGCUCUGCUCAUCUUUCUGGAAUAGUUUUAUGUCUGCGUGGAUGUAGAGAGAUGGGUGCUGCCCCUCCCCAACCCCGUGGGUGGCUCAGUGGAGUCAGUGCCCCAGGAGCAGCCAUCGACCAGUGUGGGUCGUGGCCCCAGCUCUGCGGUCUCUUAGCUGGGAUGACUCCCCGAGGCAUGCUCUUCGAGCCUUCCUUCCAGAGGUUUCCAGUGGUGUGGGGCUCCAGGUGGAGCUUCUGCAGUACCUUCUGUUCCCCAACUCAUUUCUCCCCUCUCCUGUGGUGGUUUCCCCAGGGCCAUCUUCCAAAUGCACUGUUUUCAUUCCCUGCCUCAGGGUGUGCUUUGAGGGGAGCCCAGCUGAAUCCUUACCUUUGUGGGUGCCCCACUGGACAGUGAGCCGAGGGCAUGAGGGAAGCAUCUGUGUCAAGUUCCCAGUGCCUGGCACAGUGCUGGCCCAUAGCUAAUGCUUCAACAGCUGUGUGGUCAACGGAUGGCUGGGCUGGGUGGAUGGAUGGAAGGAGGGAUGGAUACCUAAUGGAUGGAUGGAAG
Bubalus bubalis (water buffalo) is the source of this 5554-nucleotide long non-coding RNA. RefSeq lists it as uncharacterized. Lineage: Eukaryota; Metazoa; Chordata; Mammalia; Artiodactyla; Bovidae. The record is from RefSeq and is a predicted model, not a curated record. The transcript has 3 exons.